This 85-nucleotide transfer RNA is filed under the name Felis catus (domestic cat). It matches the Rfam family "tRNA". From Rfam's summary of the family: Transfer RNA (tRNA) molecules are approximately 80 nucleotides in length. Their secondary structure includes four short double-helical elements and three loops (D, anti-codon, and T loops). Lineage: Eukaryota; Metazoa; Chordata; Mammalia; Carnivora; Felidae. The record is from Rfam by way of RNAcentral.
GCCUGGUUGGCUCAGUCGGUGGAGCGUAUGACUUCGGCUCAGGUCAUGAUCUCACGGUUCAUGGGUUCGAGCCCCACGUCGGGCU